RNAcentral lists this ribosomal RNA (447 nucleotides) under uncultured bacterium. RNAcentral describes it as "partial 16S ribosomal RNA". It matches the Rfam family "Bacterial small subunit ribosomal RNA", at positions 29 to 523 of the family's 1533-position model. The record is from RNAcentral.
AGCGAACGCUGGCGGCAGGCUUAACACAUGCAAGUCGAACGCCCCGCAAGGGGAGUGGCAGACGGGUGAGUAACACGUGGGAACGUACCCUUUGGUUCGGAAUAACUUGGGGAAACUCAAGCUAAUACCGGAUAAGCCCGUAGGGGGAAAGGGUUACUGCAGAAGGAUCGGGCCGGCUCUGAUUAGCUAGUUGGUGAGGUAAGGGCUCACCAAGGGGACGAUCAGUAGCUGGUCGGAGAGGAUGAUCAGCCACACUGGGACUGAGACACGGCCCAGACUCCUACGGGAGGCAGCAGUGGGGAAUAUUGGACAAUGGGGGCAACCCUGAUCCAGCCAUGCCGCGUGAGUGAUGAAGGCCUUAGGGUUGUAAAGCUCUUUUACCCGGGACGAUAAUGACUGUACCGGGAGAAUAAGCCCCGGCUAACUUCGUGCCAGCAGCCGCCGUAA